UACAGAGGUCUCAAGCGUUGUUCGAAUUUACUGGGCGUAAAGGGCGCGUAGGCGGCCAGCACAAGUCAGUUGUGAAAUCUCCGAGCUUAACUCGGAAAGGUCAACUGAUACUGUGCGGCUAGAGUGCAGAAGGGGCAACUGGAAUUCUUGGUGUAGCGGUGAAAUGCGUAGAUAUCAAGAGGAACACCUGCGGCGAAGGCGGGUUGCUGGGCUGACACUGACGCUGAGGCGCGAAAGCUAGGGGAGCGAACGGG
Molecule: ribosomal RNA, 254 nt
Filed under: uncultured bacterium
Lineage: Bacteria
Description: partial 16S ribosomal RNA
Rfam family: Bacterial small subunit ribosomal RNA
Source: RNAcentral